CGUAGGAGACGAGCGUUGUCCGGAAUUACUGGGCGUAAAGCGCGUGUAGGCGGAUGAGCAAGUCUGCUGUGAAAGCUCCUGGCUUAACCGGGAGUGGUCGGUGGAAACUGCUCGUCUGGAGGACGGUAGAGGUAGGUAGAAUUCCCGGUGUAGUGGUGAAAUGCGUAGAGAUCGGGAGGAAUACCUGUGGCGAAGGCGGCCUACUGGGCCGGACCUGACGCUGAGACGCGAAGGCGUGGGGAGCGAACGGGAUUAGAUACCCCGGUAGUCCACGCAGUAAACGAUGUGUACUAGGUGUGGCGGGUAUCAAGCCCCGCCGUGCCGGAGCCAACGCUGUAAGUACACCGCCUGGGGAGUACGGCCGCAAGGUUA
Molecule: ribosomal RNA, 372 nt
Filed under: uncultured organism
Description: bacterial SSU rRNA
Rfam family: Bacterial small subunit ribosomal RNA
Source: RNAcentral